This 1864-nucleotide long non-coding RNA is filed under the name Carica papaya (papaya). RNAcentral's name for it is "long non-coding RNA (CPAP_LNC000199)". The record is from RNAcentral. Lineage: Eukaryota; Viridiplantae; Streptophyta; Magnoliopsida; Brassicales; Caricaceae.
GAGAUAUGAUCUUUACUCCAGCUAGCAUUGUCCUCUUUUAUCAAAUCUAACAAAAAUAACAAAAUAAUUUGUAAAAUUAAACAUUCGUUUUGCACAAUUAAAAAAACACAAAGUAUCAAGCAGAAAAAAGGGCAAAUUACGCAAAAUUGUACUUUGUGCAGUGUCUAAACGUAAGAGUUACUUCUUAUUAUAUUUAUUUCAAACUUCCAAGUUUUGUUCGGGCAAAUUCCAAGUUUGCUUAUGCCAAACAAUAGCAUAAAUCUGGGAGAACUGUUCUCUGAGUGACCCCGCUCUUAACCAGGCAUCAAGCUAGAAACUAAUCAUGUCUCCAGUGCCAAACCUCCAGCUGAUUCAAUCCUGAAAUUUGUUCAUGCUCAUGCAUAUUUUGUCCACAUCCCCUUCCCAUGAGUUCUCGCCAAUAAUUUGGUAUACCACCCUCUACCCACGGUCCCAAACUUUGCCUCAAUCACUCUCCAAGUUUUUAUAGCAUCUCAAUCCAAAACCUUCCAAGUGACCAUUAUGACAGCCACCUGAAAAUAAGCUCACAUAUUUCGCACAUGUGAAUAUAAUGCAUAACGACUAAAAAUACCCCAAUAUAAAAGUAAAAUAAAAAUUAGAUUUAUUAACUUCAUCACUUGACAACGAAUCUCACAUGAGAUAGGAAUUAUAAGUUCACCAGCUGCAUUUAAACAAAGCACGGAGUCUGCAUUUAAAUUUCUAUGAUUUUAGACUUGGUCUAUUUUUCCAGUGAGUCAAAAAUAUUGAACACAUGAAAUUUGAACACUGCAAAGCCUUUCAACUAGACGGUAAGUGUAAGAAGGAUUUCCUAUAAAUAACCUAUCAAUCUUAUUCUAUUAUUCACUCCCUAAAAUAUUAAAAGAAGAAUAUGAAGGGCCUGUAUGGCAACAAGGGAAAACACCAGCAACACAAAAUAGCACCCAGUUGAGUGCAAGUUGCAGUUCCAUUUCCACAAAUUAACAGCUAUUCUAUUGGAGAAAGGAUUUAUCAUUGGAUCAUUUUAUCAAACAGUUCCAUGCAUUCUAAGAUCAUGUUUGGGAUAGAACCGAUAUGCAUUACCCAUUACUCCUGACCAUUAGGCUCAUAAAUAAAUUACUUACUUCCUCUGAACAAUACGAAUACGAAUUUGAGACGAAGAUAAAAGAGGGAAGAAAAAGGAACUAAUUUUACCUCUUUAUCAACGAGUCUCAACUAAAACAAGAGUCAGCUUUCCAAUCACCAAGUCCCCUCCGUCAUUCUCGGCCUCCUGAAAUCGCAGAAUCUCUUCCUCUUUUCUUCCCCUGUUUCUUCCGUUCUCGGUCACACUGCUUCUCCUCCAAUUUCUUCAGUUUUUCUUCACUGAAUAUGCCUCACCUCUCGGUCCCUCAGCCUCAAUCCCAUACAACUCGAAAUCUUACCCUCUUUUCAAACCCUAAAGCACCAAAAUUUCUCCCAAUUCCUCUCCCUCUGUUUCUCUACUGUCAAUUCCGUUGUCUCUUAGUUCCUCUCUCACGCUCCUCUCCUCCGAAAAUCAGAAAAGAUGAGAGAAAAUCAGGUCCUCCCUUACAAAUCGUCAAAAGCCUCAACCCAAUCUUCUUCUCAACUCCUCUUCCUCUCCCCGCCCCCGAAUAUCCUCCCUCUUCUUUAUAGCCGCGGCUUCUUCCUCUUUGCGGGUGACCACCACCGAAUCUCUGUCUUCUUCCACCAACGGCCUCAAUGCGAUGUUGUUUCUCUGCCUUCUCCUCGUGCCAGAUUCGUCUCAGUCCUCACUCAAUUUCUCUCUCAAUACGCCUCUGCCUCCCUGGUCUCUGUGCUCUGCGAUCGCGCGCUCAGUGUCUGUCCUCUCCUCUCCCUUGCUUGUGNNNNN